AAGGGAAUCUUCCGCAAUGGGCGAAAGCCUGACGGAGCAACGCCGCGUGAGUGAUGAAGGUCUUCGGAUCGUAAAACUCUGUUAUUAGGGAAGAACAAAUGUGUAAGUAACUAUGCACGUCUUGACGGUACCUAAUCAGAAAGCCACGGCUAACUACGUGCCAGCAGCCGCGGUAAUACGUAGGUGGCAAGCGUUAUCCGGAAUUAUUGGGCGUAAAGCGCGCGUAGGCGGUUUUUUAAGUCUGAUGUGAAAGCCCACGGCUCAACCGUGGAGGGUCAUUGGAAACUGGAAAACUUGAGUGCAGAAGAGGAAAGUGGAAUUCCAUGUGUAGCGGUGAAGUGCGCAGAGAUAUGGAGGAACACCAGUGGCGAAGGCGACUUUCUGGUCUGUAACUGACGCUGAUGUGCGAAAGCGUGGGGAUCAAACAGG
Molecule: ribosomal RNA, 429 nt
Filed under: Actinomycetes bacterium
Lineage: Bacteria; Bacillati; Actinomycetota; Actinomycetes
Description: Actinobacteria bacterium partial 16S ribosomal RNA
Rfam family: Bacterial small subunit ribosomal RNA
Source: RNAcentral